RNAcentral lists this small nucleolar RNA (92 nucleotides) under Arabis alpina (gray rockcress). RNAcentral describes it as "snRNA ENSRNAG00050208041". The record is from RNAcentral. Lineage: Eukaryota; Viridiplantae; Streptophyta; Magnoliopsida; Brassicales; Brassicaceae.
AUCUCCACGUUCAUUCAGAAUCUGACAGAAUCUUUCAAGGCUGCGUGGGAAAGAUUCAAGGGAUAUUAGAGAGACUGUCCUCAUCACGGGUU